Molecule: non-coding RNA, 2350 nt
Organism: Chrysemys picta bellii (western painted turtle)
Lineage: Eukaryota; Metazoa; Chordata; Testudines; Emydidae
Source: RefSeq, a predicted model, not a curated record
CACCAUCUCUGUACAGCUAGAGCAGAGAGAAUACAUAUGCACCAGCAGCGGACACAAUUUUCUACACUCUGGGUCCUAGUGGCGCCCCCAUACAGUCUGGGACUUGAGGCAGCCACCUCAUUUCACCUCAUGGUAAGGCCAGCCCCGAACCAAACCCUUGUUACCAACCAAAAUGAACAUUUGCAGAAAAUGAAUGCAUUUGCAUAUUUGCUGUGUAUAAAAGGGGCCCACAAGCUUCUGAACACCCCUCAUUGAAAAUUCUUUCAGUUCUGCAAACAUCAUUUGGGGAGAUUUCCAAAAGCUGGCCUCUGCUUUUGUACCCAUGAACUAAAGGUGCAGUAACUGAGGGUGCAAGUUUGUACUUGCAUCCCUUUGUACCCACAGUUAACGUCAUUUGGACAGCUACAUAACUGAUUUGGAAAUGGAAAAAAAGGUAAGAUUGGUGGCUUGUCUGAAGAUAUAUAAAGAUGGCUCUGUACAUGACAUUCAAGAUUGGUGUGUGAGAAUGGGAAUCUUUGGUAAACUCUUUGGUCCUAGAAAUGAGAAGUUACUAGAAUUUCCAACAUUUAUUGUACAGUCAAGGGAAAAAUAAAUAAUUUUUGAAAAGGAAUUACAAUUAUUAGUUUAUUUAUUUUUACUUUUAUUUUAACCUUAUGCAAACUCUAAAGAAAAGGGCAUCCAUUCAAUGCAAAAACUACACUGAAAAGAGUUUCAUUUACUUCUGCCACUUUUGGUGGUUUUCAAAUCACAUUUAUUUAGUGUUUAUUUUUUCUUGUUGUUGUGUGAAAGUCCCAUACAAACAACAGAGGGAAACUGACUAUGCAUGGAAUACAGUAAAAGUACCUUUACACAAAGUGUUGCCCAGUGCAAUGAGUUUGCAAACUGGGGGAUGGGGAGGGGAAGAAAUAUUUUCCCAUCCUAUGACAGAGAAAAUCAGAGGCAGACUUAUGGCUCCACUUGUUAAUAAGCUUUGACAAAAGAAUUAUGAAUGAGCCCCCUCCAUCCCUUUGACUAAACCCCAGUUUGCCCCUCUUCAAUUCUUUUAUCAACUUGACCAGGAAGUAUGGCGUCAUCACUGCAGUUCUCCACUCUAUCAACUUCCUCCACUCUACUUUCUAAUUCUCUUAUUUCCCUCUCUUUUACACCAGUCAAAAGGCAGACAGAGGAGAUGGAAAGAACCAAGACAGCAGAUUCAUCUUCGGGAUCCAAGAGCAGAGGGAGAGAUCAGAAGAGAUGGAAUAUCCCAUUCUACACCUUAUUCUCCUGUUAAAGGCAAAGCCCUGUGAACAGAAGAUGCUGCUUCUCUCACUAUCCCUUCUCCUGAUAGGGAUAGUGAGAGAAGGAAAUCAGAAAGAGUAGGGAUGGUAUUGUUGGCUCCUUGGUGUCUUUGCCACCCAGGAUUCUUUGGUGAACCAAGCUUAGACUCUGUUUAACCUUCCUGCCUAAAAUUAAGUGCCAGGAAAUUGAAAGGAGCUGUUUCAUAGCUGAGUAUCUCUUCACAAAGGUUGCAGAUUGCCUGAUUAGAAGCAGAACUUUGACCUAUUCCUGUACAGAAGCCCUUCACUAGAUGACCACUAGAAGAGGACAGCAGGAGGAGUCUAUGACAAAUACAAUUAAUGGUCUGUGACAUCCAGACUUCCACUACUUGUUUGGUACUAUGGACUAGCAUGCACUCAGCUGGUCACAUCCCAACCACCACUAACCCUCACUAGGGACCAGUGCAGGUCUACAGAAGAAGAAACAACACCAGAUCCAGAAUUUUGGUCCAACACUCAGGUCAAAAUAGGUAAAAGUAUUAUAAGAAUAAUACCUAACUCUUAAAUACUGCUUUUUUCAUCAGUAGAUCUCAAAGCACUUUACAAAGGAGUUAUGUAUUAUUAUCCCCGUUGAACAGAUGGGGAAACUGAGGCACAAAUAAGUGCAGUGACUUGCCCAAGUUCACCCAGAAGAUCAGUGGCAGAGACUGAGUCCCAGGAGUGUGCACUAUCCAUUGGAAUGCCAUUUUCUUUGAAGAGCUCAAAAAAUGAAAAUGUUUUUCCUGAAAUUGCUUCAAUAUCCUUUAUAACAGUUGAGAAGAUUAAGACCUAGAUUCAGCUACCCUGCUUCAAGGGUAUCCUUCUUCUGAAUGCAGUCCUAUUGUUUCAUUGGGGAGGGGGGUGCUUGUAAAGAACAGUGCUACAUGCCUUGAGGAAGGAUGAAUCAGUCCCUCAAAUAUUAACCGAGAGCAUUAAAUGAGAACAAAAGCCCACAGGUAAGUAUAAAAAAGGAAAGUUAAACAGAGGCCUAGAUGUUGGGGGGACAAGGAAAAUUACAUUAGGGUCAUAGGAGCAAUAAGCAGGAAAUCGGUGAG